This 253-nucleotide ribosomal RNA is filed under the name uncultured bacterium. RNAcentral's name for it is "partial 16S ribosomal RNA". It matches the Rfam family "Bacterial small subunit ribosomal RNA", at positions 524 to 776 of the family's 1533-position model. The record is from RNAcentral.
UACGUAGGGUGCGAGCGUUGUCCGGAAUUAUUGGGCGUAAAGAGCUCGUAGGCGGCCUGUCGCGUCGGAUGUGAAAGCCCGGGGCUUAACCCCGGGUCUGAAUUCGAUACGGGCAGGCUAGAGUGUGGUAGGGGAGAUCGGAAUUCCCGGUGUAGCGGUGAAAUGCGCAGAUAUCGGGAGGAACACCGGUGGCGAAGGCGGUUCUCUGGGCCUUACCUGACGCUGAGGAGCGAAAGCGUGGGGAGCGAACAGG